UACAGUAUGAGAUCAGUGGUUAAGACAUUGGUCUACUGCUCAGAAGGUUGUGAGUUCAAACCCCAGUGCUGCCA
Non-coding RNA from Ameiurus melas (black bullhead), 74 nucleotides. NCBI's taxonomy places the organism in Eukaryota, Metazoa, Chordata, Actinopteri, Siluriformes, Ictaluridae. The record is from the annotation of a GenBank genome assembly.